RNAcentral lists this ribosomal RNA (390 nucleotides) under uncultured Chrysophyceae. Its description in RNAcentral is "partial small subunit ribosomal RNA". It matches the Rfam family "Eukaryotic small subunit ribosomal RNA", at positions 30 to 432 of the family's 1831-position model. Lineage: Eukaryota; Chrysophyceae. The record is from RNAcentral.
GCUUGUCUCAAAGAUUAAGCCAUGCAUGUCUUAGUGUAAAUAACUCUUAUGAAACUGCGAACGGCUCAUUAUAUCAGUUAUAGUUUCUUUGAUAGUCCCUUACUACUUGGAUACCCGUAGUAAUUCUAGAGCUAAUACAUGCAUCAAUACCCAACUGUUCGCGGAAGGGUAGUAUUUAUUAGAUGGAAACCAAUGCAGGGCAACCUGGAAUAUGGUGAUUCAUAAUAACUCGCGGAUCGGUUUACCGAUGCAUCAUUCAAGUUUCUGCCCUAUCAGCUUUGGAUGGUAGGGUAUUGGCCUACCAUGGCUUUAACGGGUAACGGAGAAUUAGGGUUCGAUUCCGGAGAGGGAGCCUGAGAAAUGGCUACCACAUCCAAGGAAGGCAGCAGG